RNAcentral lists this unclassified non-coding RNA (4948 nucleotides) under Hevea brasiliensis (rubber tree). The record is from RNAcentral. Lineage: Eukaryota; Viridiplantae; Streptophyta; Magnoliopsida; Malpighiales; Euphorbiaceae.
GAGAAGUGUUGGAUGUAGAAGCCAACAGAAAGAAAUAUCAACUGCAUUAAGCUAUAAUGCGACUGAAAAAGGUACAUGCUAAUCAUACACAAUCCACAGAAUAUGACACCACUUGUGUAAAAUAUACAUCACAUGAGUACUAAAGCUUCCAAUAAAUUCCUUGGCCGUGUAAGAUGCCUGCGAUGAUACCCCAGAAGAGAAUCUCCGCAAAGAUGACAUAGAGUAGAAUGCCUACUCUUUGAGAAUGCCAAACUCCAAUGAAUAUAUGCUUUUUAAUCCAAUAUAUCAAUGUGUUAUGGGGGUCAUCAUAGUACCAGCCAUUAAUAAAGCCAGCAAAGACGCCUUCAGCAGCCAUUACAUAAACAAGCAUGGCAUUCAUGCCAAUCCAUUUAAAUGGCAGAAAAAUGAACUGCAAACCCCAAAUAUCAACCUGCAAUGGAAGCAAAUGAAUUUCAGCUCAGAUCACAAUUUAUAACAGUUAAAACUAAAGUUCCCCAGCCUACAAUGGUUCAGCCAAUCUGUGUUCAUGCCCAAACUUGGUAACCAAAUCCAUAAGCUGCAUCGUUAGAUGGGAAAACAUAGGGUGUUAACAGAAACAGAUGCUUAUAUGCAAUUUCACAAUUAGAACACUGAACCAGUGCGCUUGGGAUAGUCUAGUCAUUUCCUCAAAUACAGAUGCGCUAAAUCUACUGUUAUGUCUAUGGUCUAGCAUCCACAAGCUUUUGUGAAUCACUCACCUUACAGAAUGCUAACCUUAUAGUUCAACUACUUUGGUUGCAACACGUAAAUCCUCCUUAAAUGUCAAAAACUGAGGUAGAAGGUAGGUCAUUUGAGGAACCAGCAUAAAAACUUGUUUAUGGAAAAAUUAUCGGGCAUUAAUUAUCAAGUAAUCAUAACAGCAGCAUACCAGAACAUAGAUAGCUGAAAACACCAAUGCUGCAGCUCCGGAUGUUACACAAACAUAACUAAAAGUGUAGAGCUGUUUAUUUAAGGGAACAACAUUUGUGAAAUGAAGAACAAAUCCUAUAAUGAGAAGAGCAACUCCCAUCAGAAUCCAAUGCUUUAGCCUACUGGAAUCAGCCUUCAAGUGUACAAGCACAUGUCCAAAAUGAACUCCAAUGAUAGUAGAGAGAACAGCAGAUAUUGAGCUUAGGAUUCCUUCAGGUUCAAAAGGUGCAUGGCACCAUGAUGGAGCAUCACUUUGGAAAGGCCCCUCAUAUGGGGAAUUCUCCGUGCAGGCCUUGGAUCUCCUCCAAGCUGGAUGAUGAUACAUGUGAGCUAUUCCUAGGACUUUUCUGUCAACAUACCCAGCUGCAUUACAAGGAGGAUCCAGUUUUCCUCUAACAUUGCAGACUACAUUGAAAACCUUCCCAUAAUCAGCACUGUCCCUAUUAUUUAUGGUAAACUGCCAAUCAGAGACAUAUGCCCCAUAAAUUACAGACAAGUAAACAACAAGUAUACAUGCUCCUGUCAGCCAAUGCCAACAAUAUAACCUAAACAUAGAGAACCGGCCAGGUUGCAAAUCCCUAGGUUUUGUGUCUUUUGUAAAGAUUUCCACCAGCGCCAUUAUUAGGUAUGCAAAAGCAAUUCUCUGGAGAAUGCCACACCAUCUCACAUACUUCAUGUCAACACCGUAAGUCAGUUUGUCAGGAGCGUGAGAAAAACCUCCUUGUAAUAGGAGACCCCAAAAGAGGAGUUUUAGAGUUCUGAAAAUCACUUUCUUAACGGCUUGACCCCGGCUUAUUAUUCUCUUUAGAGCAAGAGGAAUGGCCAUCCCAACUAUAAACAGAAAGAAUGGCAUAACAAAAUCAGCCACAUUGCAACCAUUCCAUGGUGCAUGUCCAAUCAUUGGCCAUUCUCCUCCAGCAUCAUCAACCAGAAUCAUCAACGCCACUGUGAGGCCUCGAAAGAUGUCAAGUGCAGCAACACGCCCUGCCUUGUGGAUCUUUUGCUCAGAAAUAUUAGCUUCGGCUACUAUCAGACGGUGGUCGUGAGUAGCAUCCACCUUAAUUUCAGCCAUUUUCAGUGACGGUUGCUGAUUGGAACAAGGAAAACACAGAAAGAAGCUCUUACACUCAAAAUUGCCUCAUGCUUUGCUUUCCUUUUAUACGGCGUAUGGGUCCGUGAGAUAAGAUUGGACAAGUUGAAAAUUAAAAUCUUUUUUAGUCAAAAAAUGAUUUUUUUUUUCUUAGUCGACAACUCGUCAUUUAACUCUGCAGUCUCUCUUGGAAACGACAAAAAUCCACUUGACAUCGCAUGGUUAAAUAAUCAUUGCCAAUUAGGCAAUUUUAGAGUCCAGCUGAAGAUAUUUUCAGAUGCACUGCUGUUGAUCCCUCUGUAUCUUCAAUGGGUUUCAAACUGCAACGCUCAAUCGGAAUUGCAUGCGUUCCAAUUCAGUUCUGUUAAACCAUGCAUUCAGUGAAAAAUGUAUGUAAAUUUUUUGGGUGCUAGUUCCUUUCAUAUGUUCUGGAAACGGGCAUUAGUUCAUAAUGGAUGAAUUCGACACCAAUGGUGAGGGCUAAAAAUCAGAGUCUCCAUCAAAUCUUUUCUUUCAAUUUCUGAAAUGGAGGCAUUCCUUCUUCAAAUCAUCAGAAGGUCAAUGACCAUCUCAUAAUAUUACUACUCUCUUGACUUCAAUGGAACUUAAAAGAUUAAAUUUUACACAUGGAAACCACUUAAAGCCAAUGGGUAUUCUAAUAAUGUCCUCUGGAGCAAAAUCUUUUCCUUCACAAUCCUCAUCAGCUACUGGAACAGGAAAUUCCCUCCAGGCUCCAGCUCUGCUUUGUGACAUGCAUCUUCAAUUUGUUAAACGAAUAAUUUGCAGCAGAACUACUUUACUGCCCCUCAACCAACCACUAGGGCCGUAAAUUUGGACUAACCACAACUGUUUCCCCCACCUGUUCCAGAGGGAAAAGCUGAUGUUCAGCCUGAUAGAAACAAAAAAUGUGAAACUUCCUCCAGGAUUGUAUUGUUAAAUGUAAAUGUGUACUGCAUAGUUUUUUAGUAAGUGACAAGAGUUUCUUACAAUAGAAGCUUUACAGGAAACUGCAAGGGUAGCAAAAAAGCAUGCAAUGCAUAUGGAGAGCACCCUCCCAGUAAGAAACCGCCUUCUUUGUCAACAUAUGGGGUGUAAACAACGUUGGUUAUGUGCAGCAAGGCAUGUCUAAUUAUUAGAUUCACAAGACAACCAAGGCAUUUGUCAUGACAUAUAUCACUUGUCGAGGAAUUUAAUGUGACUAUUGUACCUGUUAUUUUAUUACCAUCCACAAAAGAGAUGAUAACUGCAAAGAGAGUACCUUUGUUGGCACCAGUCCUGCCUGUGACCAUCCUUUGCCCCACCCACUGCCUAAGCCAAUGGCAACUCCAUCAUCUAUACCAUGCCCAACGCCUAUUGCUUGCAUUCCUCCCCAACUCUUUCCCCUUCCACAGCCCACCCCAGUUGGCUUUCUAUCUGAGCGGCAUUGCAUCUCCUCCUGAACUUUAUCAAUCACCUCUAUAUAUUUGGUUCUUCGUGAAAGACUGGAUUAGAGGUGAUAUGAAUAGUGGCUUGGUAUUGUAGGUACUCAUCAUAAUCUGUUCUGGUUAAGGUAAUAGAAUUGGACAGUCAUCCUUUGCAUCAAGUAAAAGAAAAAUUCCAUCUCCAACAGUCUGAGUCAUAUGAACUAUAGGUCGCCCAGUAUUAGUAGUUUGAUUAUUGCGUGGUGGUCGACCAUGCAAUGACCAGCAAUUACCCCUUGUGUGACCUCCUUUAUCACAAUAAGUAUAGCGUGGCUUGGAAUCUCUUUCCUUUCCUUUUCGUUGUCCUCCUUGUCCCUGCUGACUUGCAUUCUGUAUGACUAGCACUGAAUUCUUAGUUUCAGUAGUAUCAUUUGUAUUAAUAGAGAUGCACAGCAAUCGCGCAGAAAUUUCUUCCAGAGUGGGAAUAACUGAACUCAUUAGGAUUUGAUCUCUAACAGAGCCAAAAUCAUAUCGGAGUCCAAUCAGAGGCAAGACCAUAAAGAAUUUGUCUUGUUGUUGUUCUUGUGUUGUAAUGUUAUCAGAGGAGGGCAUGAGAGAGUUGAACUCAUCUUUUAGGGAUUCUACUUGCCCUACAUAACUUGCCAUAUCUUGUUGGUUUUGCUGUAAGUGGACAACAUCUGAGACAACUUUAUAUAUACAUUGAACAUCAUUAGUGUAAAGUGUCUAGGCUUUGAUCCAGACUUUGCAACAAGUUUUGCAUGAUUGGAAUAAAAUAAGUAAUUUAGGUUCAAGAGAAUGCCAUAGAAGACUUCACAAUUGUGCAUCAAUUUUAGAGCAGCUUAUCCUAUCAGUAGCCAUAAUAUCACUAGCAUUUUAACUAAAUGAUCAUCAUAGCCCUGACCCAUAAACCGUAAUUCUACUGAGGCAGCCCAUGAUAUGUAAUUGUUACUACCUUGUAGUUUCACAGUAGUAAUGGUUAGAGAGCUUGAAAUAGUAGAGAAGAUUGGUUUGAGUGCACCUGAAUUUGAAGAGUCUCCCUUUUCUGUAAUACUUUAAAGAUCUAGAAACCUCGUAGCAAUCCAAAAAUAGAAGUCCUAAAGAAGAAAAUCACAGAAGAACAGGACCUAGGCUACUGUCGUACGUUGAGGAGAAAAGAAGAAGCCCAAGAUUGGGUUGGUGGCUGAUGAGACUCGUCGGAGGGAGACGAGCUGCCCGGCGUCUGAUUCGGCAAGAAGUGUUGCCGGAAAACCACUCGCGCCGGUGCAUGUAACAAUGCAGGAAAAGCUAUGGCGGUGCAUGGGAACAUACGGCGAGGAGUCCAACACCGACCUUCUGAGGGCUGACUCGCCAGCGGCUAAGGAAGCUCCUAGGGCUGGUGGUGUUGUCCACCUCCCUCUGUAAAAGGAUGAGCAAAAGAGCAGCCCCGUGUUCCUUUUAGGGACUGCCGAAAAAUUAGGCCUUUUUAGCUCUGAUACCAUGAGAAAAAACG